RNAcentral lists this ribosomal RNA (406 nucleotides) under Eubacterium sp. RNAcentral's name for it is "bacterial SSU rRNA". It matches the Rfam family "Bacterial small subunit ribosomal RNA", at positions 355 to 776 of the family's 1533-position model. The record is from RNAcentral. Lineage: Bacteria; Bacillati; Bacillota; Clostridia; Eubacteriales; Eubacteriaceae.
UGGGGAAUAUUGGGCAAUGGGCGCAAGCCUGACCCAGCAACGCCGCGUGAAGGAAGAAGGCUUUCGGGUUGUAAACUUCUUUUGUCAGGGACGAGUAGAAGACGGUACCUGACGAAUAAGCCACGGCUAACUACGUGCCAGCAGCCGCGGUAAUACGUAGGUGGCAAGCGUUGUCCGGAUUUACUGGGUGUAAAGGGCGUGUAGCCGGGAGGGCAAGUCAGAUGUGAAAUCCACGGGCUCAACCUGGGAACUGCUUUGGAAACUGUAUGGCUAGAGUGCUGGAGAGGUAAGCGGAAUUCCUAGUGUAGCGGUGAAAUGCGUAGAUAUUAGGAAGAACACCAGUGGCGAAGGCGGUCUGCUGGACAGCAACUGACGCUGAGGCGCGAAAGCGUGGGGAGCAAACAGG